RNAcentral lists this unclassified non-coding RNA (360 nucleotides) under Hevea brasiliensis (rubber tree). Lineage: Eukaryota; Viridiplantae; Streptophyta; Magnoliopsida; Malpighiales; Euphorbiaceae. The record is from RNAcentral.
AAUUGAGGAAUGAAUGCAGACUUUGGAACAUAAAUUGCAAGAUUUGAGCCAAGAAUUGCAUGUGACAAAUCAGAGGAAUCGCGAAGAAAGAAGCAAGAUUUUUCAGAAAAUGGAUCACAAUAAGAUGGAACUGGUGCAAAAGUAUGGAUCAAAUUCUGGAGUUGUUUCAACUUUCACAACCAAAAGUCCACAAUCUUUAGGCAUCUUGAAGUGAGGAUUGUGAAUUGAGAUUGUUGAUUCAAGAUGGUAAAACACUUGAUUUCAAGUAGAGAAACGGGUACGAUCUUGAACGAAAAUUGGAUGAGAAAUUGGUCUCUAUUCGGUGUGAACUUUCGCUCAAUCCAACUCCUUCUGUUCAAU